UACAGAGGGUGCAAGCGUUAAUCGGAAUUACUGGGCGUAAAGCGCAUGUAGGUGGUUUUGUAAGUUCGAUGUGAAAGCCCUGGGCUCAACCUGGGAAUGGCAUUGAAUACUGCGAGACUUGAGUGGGAUAGAGGGUGGUGGAAUUUCCGGUGUAGCGGUGAAAUGCGUAGAGAUCGGAAAGAACAUCAGUGGCGAAGGCGGCCACCUGGGUCCCAACUGACACUAAAGUGCGAAAGCAUGGGGAGCAAACAGG
RNAcentral lists this ribosomal RNA (253 nucleotides) under uncultured bacterium. Its description in RNAcentral is "partial 16S ribosomal RNA". It matches the Rfam family "Bacterial small subunit ribosomal RNA", at positions 524 to 776 of the family's 1533-position model. The record is from RNAcentral.